Molecule: transfer RNA, 102 nt
Filed under: Xylaria arbuscula
Lineage: Eukaryota; Fungi; Ascomycota; Sordariomycetes; Xylariales; Xylariaceae
Description: tRNA-Glu
Rfam family: tRNA
About the family: Transfer RNA (tRNA) molecules are approximately 80 nucleotides in length.
Source: RNAcentral
UUUGAAUUGGUGUAGUGGUGAACAUUUGACGCUCUCAACUCGAUCCUUGUGAUGGUCUUGUGCGGUGCCGUCAAGCCCGGGGUUCGAUUCCCCGAUUCGAAG